This 225-nucleotide ribosomal RNA is filed under the name Blautia stercoris. Its description in RNAcentral is "partial 23S ribosomal RNA". It matches the Rfam family "Bacterial large subunit ribosomal RNA", at positions 2701 to 2925 of the family's 2925-position model. Lineage: Bacteria; Bacillati; Bacillota; Clostridia; Lachnospirales; Lachnospiraceae. The record is from RNAcentral.
ACAGGCCGCUGGUGUAUCUGUUGUAGUGCCAACUGCAUGGCAGAGUAGCCAAGCCUGGAAGGGAUAAACGCUGAAGGCAUCUAAGCGUGAAGCCCCCCUCAAGAUGAGAUAUCCCAUUCGAAAGAAGUAAGACCCCUUGAAGACGACGAGGUAGAUAGGGCAGAGGUGGAAGUGCAGCAAUGUAUGGAGCUGACUGCUACUAAUCGGUCGAGGGCUUGACCAGAA